Molecule: ribosomal RNA, 253 nt
Filed under: uncultured bacterium
Lineage: Bacteria
Description: partial 16S ribosomal RNA
Rfam family: Bacterial small subunit ribosomal RNA
Source: RNAcentral
UACGUAGGGUGCAAGCGUUGAUCGGAAUUACUGGGCGUAAAGCGUGCGCAGGCGGUUGGGCAAGACCGAUGUGAAAGCCCCGGGCUUAACCUGGGAAUGGCAUUGGUGACUGCACGGCUAGAGUGUGUCAGAGGGGGGUAGAAUUCCACGUGUAGCAGUGAAAUGCGUAGAGAUGUGGAGGAAUACCGAUGGCGAAGGCAGCCCCCUGGGAUAACACUGACGCUCAUGCACGAAAGCGUGGGGAGCAAACAGG